RNAcentral lists this small nuclear RNA (126 nucleotides) under Neogale vison (American mink). Its description in RNAcentral is "Neovison vison (American mink) U4 spliceosomal RNA (ENSNVIG00000009992.1)". The stretch from base 1 to 69 matches the Rfam family "U4 spliceosomal RNA". Rfam says of the family: U4 small nuclear RNA (U4 snRNA) is a component of the major U2-dependent spliceosome. The structure of U4 snRNA from yeast and human has been reported. U4 snRNA presents a k-turn RNA motif in the 5p-SL related to recognition of Snu13 protein. The record is from RNAcentral. Lineage: Eukaryota; Metazoa; Chordata; Mammalia; Carnivora; Mustelidae.
AGCUUUGCGCAGUGGCAGUAUCGUAGCCAAUGAGGUUUAUCCGAGGCGCGAUUAUUGCUAAUUGAAAGUGUCAAGUACAAAAACUUGCAAAGAGACCUAGUUUUGACUUUUCCACUCUAUUCCAGG